AAUAUAAUGAAUAAAUGUGCUACACACUAAUAAACAUGUAUAUGUGUGCAAUGAUAGUAACAAAUACACAGUCGUAUAACCGGCCUAUCAUUAUAUUAACACAGUUAUAUAUGCAUACGUUAAUAAAGAAUAAACAUGGUUGCAAUUGCGCUUAAUGUCCACAAGGGCGCUCCAGAGGGCCACCUACAGAGGUUUCAUAACUUGGCCCUCGUGUUUAAUGGCGGACAGAGCGAGGCAGAUCAAUUAACCUUAGCAGAGAACAUAAAUGCGCUUUGGCACAGCGAAAUCCCUCUAUGUAAGGUCGUCCUGCUCACCACAGUCUUCACUUCUGCUGAUGAAGCCGCUCUGCUGAGAGAUGAUCAGCAUCAACAACAGCCUGCUGAUCUGAUGAGAAGUCUGCAGCAAGUGAAACAAAGAGGACACUGCGGGAGGAGAGAAGGAGGAUGCACUUUGACAGGACAUGGGCAACCUUUUGAACCAUCUUUUGACCAGCAAAGGAAAGAAAGGGGACAGACGGAAAACAAACCAAUUCCAUUCCAGAGACUCUGUGGGAGGAGACCAGGAGGAUGCACUACAGCGGGAUGGAAGCCACGCCGAAAAAUAGACAUCUAGAGUCAAGCUCUGCAGGAAGUGCCAUCAGAUGCAGAAGAUUGCAAAUGAAUGAAGAUAAUUGUAAUGCUUAUAAAACAAUGCAAAUGCUUUUAAUCAGAAAUAAAAGAUUUCAAAUCAGA
Long non-coding RNA from Amphiprion ocellaris (clown anemonefish), 731 nucleotides. The record is from Ensembl. NCBI's taxonomy places the organism in Eukaryota, Metazoa, Chordata, Actinopteri, Pomacentridae.